GGCGUGGGAGGAUUGAGGGAGGGGAGGAGUUGGAGAAAUGGGGGCGGGAAGAGGAGGGAGGGGCAGGGAGAGGGAGGAAAAGGAAGGAGGAAGAACCGGGGAGAAAGGGAGGAACGAGGGAGAAGAGUGGGAGCAGGGAGGAUGAAAAGGAAGAGGAUGAGUGAGGAGGGGAGGAAGGGGAAAUUAUGGCUGAGCAAGUGCAAAGGGGACCCACAGGUGCAUUAGGAAGCCCAUACCCCCAAGAGGCUCUAUGAUGUCUGUAAAUUCUUUGCCCAAUAUUUUAUUUAGUUUUUGUCAGCUAAAAACUUGAUUGGUUUUUCCAACUUUUGUUGAAAGUAGAGCCUUAGAAACCACUGGGCUUCCCAGAUGUUUUACCCAGGCACUUGGGGCCAUUCCCUUUUCCUUUUUCUAGGAAAUUUACCAAAAAACCACUACCCAGGUACAUUUGUGAUGUCUGUUGCUCUUCGUUUGAAGGCAUAUUUGCCAAUACAGUUUUUUAAAAUUAAAAACUGUCUACUGGGUCUGAAUGUUUUUGUCAGACCUUGUACAACUACAGAUUGAAAUCACUAAAUUUAUAGGAAAUGUUCUAAAUAACCCACUUGUUGAAUGCAGACCUCACUGUCAAGCCAGUCAGCCAAAUUACAGUUAACCUUGUCCAAAAAAAAAAAGAUCUGGGAGAAUAUGAACCAUUGAAAAGUAGCACAUUGCUAUGGAUUUUUAGGGUUUGGUUGUGGUCCCCCCCCCCAAAAAAAAAAAAAAAAACUGGCAAUGCAGGAAUGCUCAAAGGUGAAAUGAUUAGAUUAUGAGAGCUGUAACCUGAUCAGUGGGUUAAUCCAAGUGAUAGAGUAAUCAUUUGAAUGGCCUAACCUGGUGUUAACUAGCGCAGGUGGGCAUGGCUAGAGGAAGUGGGUCACUAGGGGAUGUGCCUUGGGGAUUAUAUAUCUUGUCCCUCUGCUUCCUUGUUGCCUGUCCUAAGCUGCUUUCCUUCCCCACACCCUUCUGCCGUGAUGUUCUGUCUCACCUUGGGCCCAGAGCUGUGGAGUUGGCUGACCAUAGACUGAACCUCUGAAACCAUUAGCGCAGAUAAACUUCUCCUUCUAAAUUGUUCUUGUUAGGUAUUUUGGUCACAGAGAGCAAAGCUGACUGUUAGGUUUGGAUGUGAGGUAUCCCCCAAAAGUUCACAUGUUAGACAGUGCAAGAACAACAUUCAGAGGAGAAAUGAUUGGUUGAAAGAGUCUUAACCCAAUCAGUGAUUUAAUCCUCUGAUAGGGAUUAACUGAGUGGUAACUGAAGUAGUAGGGUGUGGCUGGAGGAGGUGGGAAUUGGGGUGUGGCUUGGCGUGUAUAUUUGUGUCUGACCAGUGGAGUCUCUCUCUGCUUUUUGAUCAUCAUGUGAGAUGAUUCCCUCUGUCACGCUCUUCUACCAUGGUGUUCAGCCUCACCUAGAACACUGAGGAAUGGAUCUGGCCUUUUAUGAACGAAGACCUCAGAAAUUGUAAGCCCCCAAGUAAACCUUUCCUCUUUUACAGUUGUUCUGGUUGGGUCCUUUAGUCACAGCAGCGAAAAAGCUGACUAAAACACUAACACAGGUUUGAGUGUGUCCCCUCUAGGAAUCUGUGUUGCAAUGUGACAUUGCUGGGAAGAGAGGCCUAUGAAAGGUGACCAGGCCUGGAGGGCACCUCCCUACUGGGCAGGAUAAGGUACCCUUAUAAGAGGUCUGCAGGGAGUCUGCCCCUUUGCCAUUUUGCCCUCUGCCAUGUGAGGAGAAGUAUCCUCUUGCAAGUGGGACCCUUACCAGACAGGGAGCCUGCUUCUGCCUUGAGCUUGCACUUCUCAGCCCCAGAAGGGGAAGAAAUAAAUUUUAGUUUUUCGUAAAUCACUCAGUCUCAGCUUGGUGUGGUGGUGCAUUUCUGUAAUCCAAAUUACUUGGGAGGCUGAAGAAGGAGGAUCACAAGUUUGAGGCCAACCAGUUUCAACCACUUAAGCCCUGUCUCAAAAUAAAAAGGAUCGGGGAUAUAGCUCAGUGGCGGAGCACCAGUGAGGUCCAUCCCCACGCUUCCCCCCCAUUUUAUUUUAAUAAUGAACAAAUUACAGAGUCAGGAAUUGUAGCACAAAACACUAAGACAAGAUGGUGCAUCUUUUCAGAUCCCCCUCCACUCCUGUCGGUGGAGGGGAGCCUGCUGCCCAGCAGACCACAGCCCCCAUUUGCUGUAGUUACAGGCGAGUGCAGCCAUUGCUGCAGCAUGGGUCAGCGUCUCAGGCAAGGCCUGUCUUCCCAGGCUUUCUGCUUCCAUCCCAGGAAGUAGAGAGGGAGCCCCAGAAGCCAGCCUGCCCCCCUCCAGAGCAUGUCCUCCCAGCCCACCUCCUCUCCUGCUCCACCCUCCUGCUUCUGCACUCCUCCCCAGUUCCUAAAGCCUCACACCAUGUGCACUGCAAGCAGCCACCUGCUUUACCUGCCCUGUGAGGACACCCCACUCCUGGGCCACACUUUCUCAUGCCCUAAGUGUCUGGGCAGGGUUUUGUUUUCGGCACUGGAGCCUAAAGGUCUUGAUGAGACUGAAGCGGCACUGCCACCAGAGGAGCCAGUCCUGCCCAGAGAAACAAUGUGAGCAAAAUGCAGCUGGGUAUUAUGUAACUCAAUACAUCAAAAAUAUCACUUAAACAAGUAGUAUAGAAUGAUGGGUGGACUACUAGGAAGUUGAUGUAGCAAGGCAUGGCGAGCCAGAGGAGAGAAGGAGACCCCCAGAUGUGCCACACUGGGGAUUUGAAUCACAGCGGGGAGUGGGCAGGGAUGGGGCAGCUGCCUGAGCAAGUGACCACAGUGUGCAAGACCUUUGCAGCAACAGGGGCUGUGUCUGGGGCUGCUCCUGCCACACGCCUGCCUCAGCCAGAGAAAGGCUUUGUGAGAGUCACCAUGUUCCAGCAGACUCCAGACAGGAGGUGUUGGCCCUGAGUCCCCACUAAAAUCAAUGAGUUCUUUAAAGAGCAGACCUAGCUGGGCCUUCAAGAGCCAGUUGUGCCAUCAACACAGACUAAACACUUCUCUCUCCACAAUGUUAGAAUUUGCUGAAUGGCAAUAAAUUCAUGGCUGCCAUUUAGGGGCUGCCAUUCACUGAACACCUGCAGGUCACCUGAUAGGCAGGCAGCUGCUAAAUCUUUCAUCCCAUUCUAAUAUGAAUUUCUAAUAUUGAUUCUGCCGGUUAUCGGUGAUGAAUUCAGCUUCCUCACAUGUUGAAGAUUUAUAUUCCCAAAUGAAGGCUUUGUCCUCUGCAACCUUGUUCUAUUAUCUUCAUGGUGUACACUGACAUGUUCCAGAUGCUGCACCAUUUAUUCAGUACUCAUGUUUUCUGUUUCUCUCAUAGAAGCACUCAUCUCCAGAUGGCUUUACCGCUGUUCUUCCCCAACCAGACUUCAAUCCGACCUGACUUCUAAAAGGGAACUGCUUGCCCACACUGCCCCCUUCCAGCUUGAAGAAGCCAGAACAGUCAUUGUCCCUUUUCCUUAGGGUAGUAAGGAGCUCCUAAAAUCGGGUGGGGGUGUAGCCAGAAUUAGACAGGCAGUCAGUAUAGAUGGGUAAAUCGAGUCAGGUCAGAUCACGGAAGCCAAUUUUGAGUGAGUCUGGGUAGUUGGAGACUGUCCUCUGAAGGAUUGAGAUGUUAAUUCCUUCAGAGCCCUUCCUCCACCCUUAUCAGGAACUUCCCCCUGUUCCAAACUGUUGCCAAGGUAACAUGUCCCAGAAGUUGCCCCUCCCUGCAGGAAGCUAUAAGGUUGUUAAUUAAGCUAUAAGGUUGUCCUUGACUGCUCCAUCCUGCCCUUCCCACUCAGCCCACCUGUUUCACACCUUUUGGGCAUCCCACCAGCAUUUCCUAGGCUUACUCACAUACUCAGAAAGGAGAAAGAUAAGGGGAAGAGGGCAGGAGAGGAAAGGAAAUCUAGGACAUAUAAAGAGGGCAGAACACCGGGAGAAGUCUAUGUUACCCCUUUUUAAAUAAACCCUACUUCAUAUUGCUUGCCUAGGCGUGCAUCUCUAAUGUUCAAAUUCACCCCACCCUAACCCCU
This 4058-nucleotide long non-coding RNA is filed under the name Marmota monax (woodchuck). The record is from RNAcentral. Lineage: Eukaryota; Metazoa; Chordata; Mammalia; Rodentia; Sciuridae.